Molecule: ribosomal RNA, 377 nt
Filed under: uncultured organism
Description: partial 16S ribosomal RNA
Rfam family: Bacterial small subunit ribosomal RNA
Source: RNAcentral
GUAGGGUGCGAGCGUUAUCCGGAAUCAUUGGGCGUAAAGAGCUCGUAGGCGGUUCAGCAAGUCGGCUGUGAAAUUCCGAGGGCUCAACCUCGGAACUGCAGUCGAUACUGUUGUGACUCGAGUCCGGUAGAGGAGAAUGGAAUUCCCGGUGUAGCGGUGAAAUGCGCAGAUAUCGGGAGGAACACCAGUAGCGAAGGCGGUUCUCUGGGCCGGCACUGACGCUGAGGAGCGAAAGCGUGGGUAGCAAACAGGAUUAGAUACCCUGGUAGUCCACGCCGUAAACGUUGGAUACUAGGUGUGGGGUUCCGACCAACGGUCCCCGUGCCGAAGCUAACGCAUUAAGUAUCCCGCCUGGGGAGUACGGCCGCAAAGGCUAA